RNA transcript from Quercus lobata, 780 nucleotides. It is a transcript of the gene named beta-glucosidase 42-like, with no coding region annotated. NCBI's taxonomy places the organism in Eukaryota, Viridiplantae, Streptophyta, Magnoliopsida, Fagales, Fagaceae. The record is from RefSeq and is a predicted model, not a curated record. The transcript has a single exon.
AUGGCAAAGAAGGAGUUGUUGAAGGAAUAUGAAGGUGAUGAGUCCAACAAGAAGGAAGUGUCUCGCAGUGACUUCCCUCCAAACUUCUUCUUUGGCGUGGCCACUUCUGCCUAUCAGGUGGAAGGAGCCUACAAGGAGGGUGGUAGUGGUCCAAGUAUUUGGGAUGCUUUUUCACACACUGAGGGAAAGAUCGUUUACAAAAGCAAUGGUGAUGUGGCAGUGGAUCAAUAUCAUAGAUACAAGGAAGAUGUUGAACUUAUAGCCAAGUUGGGAUUCGAAUAUUAUCGCUUUUCCAUAUCAUGGUCUCGUAUCUUCCCUGAUGGUUUAGGAACCAAAAUCAAUGAUGAAGGGAUUAAUUACUACAACAAUCUUAUUAAUGCUCUUCUUGAAAAAGGUAUCUAGCCUUGCAUAACUUUGUACCAUUGGGAUCUUCCUUUGCAUCUUCAUGAGACAAUGGGAGGGUGGUUGAAUAAGCAAAUUGUAAAAUAUUUUGCAAUCUAUGCAGACACUUGCUUUGCAAGUUUUGGUGAUAGAGUAAAAAUCUGGAUUACAAUUAAUGAGCCCCUUCAAACUGCUGUGAAUGGAUAUGAUAUGGGGGGAUUUGCUCCUGGAAGAUGUCAAGGUUCUUCAAUAGAACCAUAUUUGGCUGCGCACCACCAGAUCUUGGCCCAUGCAGCAGCUGUUUCAAUAUACAGAAGCAAGUAUAAGGACAAGCAAGGGGGACAAGUAGGCUUGGUGCUAGACUGUGAGUGGGCAGAGGCUAAUUCAGAAAACAAAUAA